This 63-nucleotide transfer RNA is filed under the name Rhyzopertha dominica (lesser grain borer). Its description in RNAcentral is "tRNA-His". Lineage: Eukaryota; Metazoa; Arthropoda; Insecta; Coleoptera; Bostrichidae. The record is from RNAcentral.
AUUCAAGUAUUUUAAUAAAAAAUUUUGUUUUGUGGUAACAAAGAUAUCUAUGGAUCUUGAGUU